This is a non-coding RNA of Octopus bimaculoides (California two-spot octopus), 132 nucleotides long. Lineage: Eukaryota; Metazoa; Mollusca; Cephalopoda; Octopoda; Octopodidae. The record is from Rfam.
ACCGUCCUCGUCAGGGGGUUGGGAGCUUGCUCAAGGAGGGUUUACUGAGGGCAAGACUGCUGACACCUGCAAUUAAUAAUUGAGCGCACCACUGUACCCGGAGGGUACAGGUUAGGUGCAAUUUUUGGAAAU